ACAUUUAACUAUCAAACCAUCAGCUCUUAACAGCGUUCAUUGGGGUGUUUGGUUGGAGCGAUAUCUUUGUUAAAUACUAACGCAUGUGUCCUAAGGGCUCACAGAGAACAGAUUUCUCCAGUAGAACAAAAGGCAAAAGCCCGUUGACUUAGAUUUUAUGUGUGAAAACAUACCAUGAAAGUGUGCCUCAUUCAUCAUUGAACACCCAAGAAUUUGGGGCUAGAGGUGCCAGA
RNAcentral lists this non-coding RNA (233 nucleotides) under Metschnikowia bicuspidata var. bicuspidata NRRL YB-4993. Its description in RNAcentral is "Eukaryotic large subunit ribosomal RNA". It matches the Rfam family "Eukaryotic large subunit ribosomal RNA", at positions 2575 to 2810 of the family's 3401-position model. The record is from Rfam by way of RNAcentral. Lineage: Eukaryota; Fungi; Ascomycota; Pichiomycetes; Serinales; Metschnikowiaceae.